CCACUUGAUGAAUGGCACUGGGCUCCGACAGCCAUCUUUGGCUGGUCUUGAUGGAAAUGCCCUAUGGAGGCAGGCCUAGAAAACCUCGCCCACUGAUC
Molecule: small nucleolar RNA, 98 nt
Rfam family: A. fumigatus snoRNA Afu_513
Source: Rfam